Molecule: ribosomal RNA, 253 nt
Filed under: uncultured bacterium
Lineage: Bacteria
Description: partial 16S ribosomal RNA
Rfam family: Bacterial small subunit ribosomal RNA
Source: RNAcentral
UACGUAGGGUGCAAGCGUUGUCCGGAAUUAUUGGGCGUAAAGAGCUUGUAGGCGGUUUGUCGCGUCUGCUGUGAAAUCCCGCGGCUCAACUGCGGGUCUGCAGUCGAUACGGGCAGGCUAGAGUUCGGUAGGGGAGACUGGAAUUCCUGGUGUAGCGGUGAAAUGCGCAGAUAUCAGGAGGAACACCGAUGGCGAAGGCAGGUCUCUGGGCCGAUACUGACGCUGAGGAGCGAAAGCGUGGGGAGCGAACAGG